Molecule: long non-coding RNA, 1628 nt
Organism: Cannabis sativa
Lineage: Eukaryota; Viridiplantae; Streptophyta; Magnoliopsida; Rosales; Cannabaceae
Exons: 3
Source: RefSeq, a predicted model, not a curated record
UAUCUUUGCUGGAGUUUCUUCCUUAUCAACCAACCUAAUGAUUGCAUCACUUAGGUUGAAUAUGAUAAUCCCAGUAGCUGUUUCAAGAUACUCUUCUUGCUGUAUCUUAGUUGUUCCUUCAGGCCAUUCAAUGGGUUCUUCAAGGACCCUCAACAGCUUCUGUUGUGCCAGUAGAGAUCUUAUUUUCCUCCUCCAUAUUCUGUAGUCACCUGAUCCAUCAAACUUAUCAACAUCAACUUUAAAAUUACUCAUAUUGUAUUUGUUAAAAAAUCAAAUUAGAUAAAGGUUUAGAAUGUCCUCCAAAUCUCCAAUAUCUAAUUCCUCCUCUUCAUGUCCAUCCUUGUGUUCUUGAUUUUCAAUGUCUUUCUAAUUUGCUUCUUGAUUGUAUUAUUUUGAAUCUCUUUGCGGAAAUAAUUUGGCUCUGAUACCACUGUUGGAAAUUAUUUGUUCUAACCAACACACUUUAAGAAGCAAAAUUAAUAUUAUAUGCAAAUUGGUAUUUUUCUAAAAUUUAUUAUUUUAUGUGUUCAUAAAAUAAUAGUGUCAAUUUUAUAAACUAAUACAAUUUUGCAAUCUUUGUUUCAGCCCAAACACAAAAGGUUCGGCCCACUAAGCCAAAGCCCAAAAAGAGAUUAACUCAACAAAGAGUCAAUGACUCUUCUCACUAAAGUGGUUCGGCCCACUAUCAAUCAACCAAAGAGAGUUUUCUCUCUCCAAUCACUCCUUCAGUCAAUGCAAGAAUUCAAACAAGACUCUCCUUUGAUAUAUAUUCGGCCCAGCAAGUAUAUCAGCCCAACUUAAAUGAAACCCUAAGUUAAUAAACCCUAAUAUAAAAGCCAAAGGUAUAACACUAAAAACCUAAUACUUUCUUCUUCUCUAUUCGGCAGCCACUAUCAUUCCCUCUCUAAAAUAUUCAAAACUUUCCAAAAAACCUUCUUCUCUCUAAUGGCAGCUGCUAGGGUUUUCUAGGGUUAGGGUUUCUUUCACUUCUUCUUCUUUUCAACACAAAGGCAACAAGAGUUUCUGGAGUUAAUUUCUUCUCUUCUUCUUGCUACAGCCGCAAGGAUUAAUGUUCUUCAAAGUUUAUACCCGAAACAAGAACAACCAAAAACACAAAUCUUCUACCCGAAAAUACUAACCCAGAAAAGCACUCACUCACGGCUUUACUCACUCAAAAACCGAACCACAAAAAUGUUUCACAUCCUCAUGGCCAAAAAACCAAACCGAAAAAUACAACCCGAAUAAAUCCCUUUAGCUUUCGGCCAAUACAAUACACACCCAAAAAUCAAGAACAUAAACACAUGCACAAAUACAAAUACCACAAAAAAUAAUAAGAGUGAGAUGAGAGAAUGCAAACAGUGAUUAAAGUAGAUGACACCAAAACUUUGAUCUCGGAGUUCGCCCAAAACAACCGGCUACUUCUCCGUCAAGCCCUCAGCUUGAUUCCACUAAUCAUCAAACAAAGGAGGAGCUCACAUGGAGAUGACAACUCACAGCCAAAAGGCUCUCUUUUUUACUUUGUUGUUAUUUCUGAUGUUGUUCUCUGUUGUUGUAUCUCUCUGGCUGUGACUCUUUAUUUUGCUCUGUAUAUUAUUGCUUGUUGUAUCUGAGAAAAGCACCUCCUUUUA